UUUUGGCAGCGGCACCAGACUGCACGUUGGAAAAAACGUCUCCCCCACCCUCACGGUCCUGCCCCCCUCUAGCGUGGAGCUGUCCAGCAAGAGAACGGCCACGCUGAUGUGCCUGGCCAACAAGGGCUUCCCCUCAGACUGGACGCUGCGCUGGAAAGUGGACGGUAGCAGCAGGAGCUCGGAGGCGAGCGGCGGGGUCCUGGAGAAGGACGGCCUGUACAGCUGGAGCAGCACCCUGACUCUCUCUGUGGACGAGUGGAACAAGGCGGGGUCACUGACCUGUGAGGCCACCCAGGGCUCCCAGGCUCCGCUCACUCACACACUGAGGAGAGAGCAGUGUUCUGAGUAGCACCUCA
Molecule: non-coding RNA, 356 nt
Organism: Megalops cyprinoides (Indo-Pacific tarpon)
Lineage: Eukaryota; Metazoa; Chordata; Actinopteri; Elopiformes; Megalopidae
Source: the annotation of a RefSeq genome assembly